Molecule: ribosomal RNA, 406 nt
Filed under: uncultured bacterium
Lineage: Bacteria
Description: partial 16S ribosomal RNA
Rfam family: Bacterial small subunit ribosomal RNA
Source: RNAcentral
AUUGAACGCUGGCGGCAGGCCUAACACAUGCAAGUCGAACGAGCGGCGGACGGGUGAGUAAUGUCUGGGAAACUGCCUGAUGGAGGGGGAUAACUACUGGAAACGGUAGCUAAUACCGCAUACCAUCAGAUGUGCCCAGAUGGGAGUAGCUAGUUGGUUGGGUAAUGGCUCACCUAGGCGACGAUCCAUAGCUGGUCUGAGAGGAUGACCAGCCACACUGGAACUGAGACACGGUCCAGACUCCGACGGGAGGCAGCAGUGGGGAAUAUUGCACAAUGGGCGAAAGCCUGAUGCAGCCAGGCCGCGUGUAUGAAGAAGGCCUUCGGGUGGUAAAGUACUGUCAGCGAGGAGGCGUUACUCGCAGAAGAAGCACCGGCUAACUCCGUGCCAGCAGCCGCGGUAAUUC